UGGGGAAUAUUGGACAAUGGGCGCAAGCCUGAUCCAGCCAUGCCGCGUGAGUGAUGAAGGCCCUAGGGUUGUAAAGCUUUUUCACCGGUGAAGAUAAUGACGGUAACCGGAGAAGAAGCUCCGGCUAACUUCGUGCCAGCAGCCGCGGUAAUACGAAGGGGGCUAGCGUUGUUCGGAUUUACUGGGCGUAAAGCGCACGUAGGCGGACUUUUAAGUCAGGGGUGAAAUCCCGGGGCUCAACCCCGGAACUGCCUUUGAUACUGGAAGUCUUGAGUAUGGUAGAGGUGAGUGGAAUUCCGAGUGUAGAGGUGAAAUUCGUAGAUAUUCGGAGGAACACCAGUGGCGAAGGCGGCUCACUGGACCAUUACUGACGCUGAGGUGCGAAAGCGUGGGGAGCAAACAGG
RNAcentral lists this ribosomal RNA (404 nucleotides) under Actinomycetes bacterium. Its description in RNAcentral is "Actinobacteria bacterium partial 16S ribosomal RNA". It matches the Rfam family "Bacterial small subunit ribosomal RNA", at positions 355 to 776 of the family's 1533-position model. The record is from RNAcentral. Lineage: Bacteria; Bacillati; Actinomycetota; Actinomycetes.